This 253-nucleotide ribosomal RNA is filed under the name uncultured bacterium. RNAcentral's name for it is "partial 16S ribosomal RNA". It matches the Rfam family "Bacterial small subunit ribosomal RNA", at positions 524 to 776 of the family's 1533-position model. The record is from RNAcentral.
UACGUAGGGUGCAAGCGUUGUUCGGAAUUACUGGGCGUAAAGGGCGCGUAGGCGGCCUGUUAAGUCGAACGUGAAAUCCCUGGGCUCAACCCAGGAACUGCGUCCGAUACUGGCAGGCUUGAAUCCGGGAGAGGGAUGUGGAAUUCCAGGUGUAGCGGUGAAAUGCGUAGAUAUCUGGAGGAACACCGGUGGCGAAGGCGGCAUCCUGGACCGGUAUUGAUGCUGAGGCGCGAAAGCCAGGGGAGCAAACGGG